This is a long non-coding RNA of Hypanus sabinus (Atlantic stingray), 1726 nucleotides long. RefSeq lists it as uncharacterized. Lineage: Eukaryota; Metazoa; Chordata; Chondrichthyes; Myliobatiformes; Dasyatidae. The transcript is spliced from 3 exons. The record is from RefSeq and is a predicted model, not a curated record.
UUCAUCCUUUUGCUGGCACAAGGGGUAGGUGGCUGAACUGGAAAUCCAGAGGCCUACACCAUUCUGAUACCCCAGGGUUCACUUCUUGCCAUAGCAGAUGCAAUAAUUUAAAUUCACUUAAUAAUCUGGAACUUCACAGAACAUACGUUAGUAACCAUGGUCAGGUAACUGUAAAUACGCAUCUGGUUAUCAGCUGUUAUUCAAGGGAGGAAAUCUGCUUUCUCUCCACUCAGAUUCCAGGUACACAGCAAAUGUUUUUCAAUCUUAACUACCCUCUGUGAUGGCCCAGCUACAUCAAUGGAUCAAGCUUAAUCAGCUUGACGGAGGCAUAGAAUCAGGUCACACUGAAGUCACUUCCAGCCUAACCGACCUUGAAAAAUCUUUCUCAUAGAGAUCUGAGGACAAGUAUUCUAAAUUCAGAAAGCUGUCCUAGAUACCAAUUGAACAAUAGCCUGACAUAGUUAUACAUGUAGACAAGGUGACAGGUUCCUCCAUUACAAUCUAUGGGCACAUUUUUAUCAAACAGAGAAUAUAAUACAAAGAUGUAAAAGAGGAGGAGAGUCACCUUGGAACUUCAGAACAUUAAUGUCAGAGUCAGUCUAGUGUCACAGCCUCAGGGCAAACAUUGUCCAGAAAACUAUCUACUAUCAUCGAUCUGCUGAAGAAUCAGUUACUGCCUUGUUAUGUCCAACCAGACAGAAAGUAGUAAAGGCAGAGGUUGUGCUCGGCAUAGAAGACUUCAGUGACCAUCUCGGGAAUGUUUCACCAACUCCCCCAUCGUUGGCCACUUCCCAAAGGGCACAGCUUCCAAACUGGGACUUUGGCAGUUAGUGAGUGAAGCAACGUAGACGAAAGACCUACAUGAGGUUAAAGAUUACCUUUUUCACAAACGAGAGAAAAUCUGUAGAUGUUGGAAGUCCAAGCAACACAUACAGAAGGCUGGAGGAGCUCAGCAGGCCAGGCAGCUUCUCUGGAAAAGAGUACAGUUGAUGUUUCAGGCUGAGACCCUUCAUCUAUUUAUUUUAUUUAUUUAUUGAGAUACUGCUUGGAACAGACCCUUCCAGGACUUUGUCUCCAGAUUUUGCCUCUGGGUUUACACCUGAAGCCUUCUCCAUGAGUAGGUACAGCUGCAAAGCAGCAUGGGUUUGAGAUCGGAGUUCUCCUUCUCCUAGAUGAGCUACCGACCACGGUUGACAAGCCCCACCUACCCCAGGAGGGAUUGUUGCACUAAAGGCUGCAGCUGCUCUGAAAUGGUGCAUGUAAAAUUAACUCCAUUAUUCCACCGCGGGUGUCAUGAGGUUUGACCUGAGACAGCUACUACACCUGGUGCUACCUCGGAUUCCUUGCAAUGUUUUCCUCCAUCAAAUCAUUUCAUGAACUGGACCAACAAUGAUCAAUGCUGAUCCUGUGAAGCAGGAGCUCUCCCCCCUUUCUUUGAACGGGCAUCAGGAAUCUCUUCAUGUACUUAUCCGCAAUUCUGAGACUUGUGGAGCUAACCCUGCUAUUCAAUCAAAACACAACUGCUUCUUGCAGGUCAUCAGCUGGCAUCAGCUAUUCCAUUCAUAACAUCAGACUCGUGGUGUAAGUGCCAGGUCAAUCGAAAUGCAGAUGUGUUUGCUUUUCACUACAGUCAAACAAAAACGCCGGAAGCACUCCAUGCUCCCUGCCUUGAGUUAAACCUAGAUCAAUAGCAUACAUUGCCUGUUUUCAGGAGCAAUCUAAUUUA